UGAUAACGGGGUUUCUCCCACAGCAGGGCUUUAGAAAGGACGGAGAAAUCUGGACCAGUAACUUAUUUCAAAAACAUAAUAAUAAAGAAGAAGGAGGAGGAGGAGAAAAAGAACUUUUAGAAUGUCCUUGCAGAGCAAACAUGAAGGACAACCUUUCUCUCCACCUCAGACAUUCAGCAAAACACCAGAGACAGUCUGUCUUGUCUGGAGGAGACUGGCAGCAUCUGCAUGGACACACUACCACGGAGGUUAUCUGGAACUGCUGGCCUGCCAUCUUCCUCAUCAUCCCAGGGGAACUUUUGUUAUUUUCACCUUUCGGGAUGGCAUGGAUAUUUUACGUCCACCAGGCUUCUCCCAGGGUUUGGAGCUUGCAGAGAUUUCUAGAUGGUGGCCUG
Diceros bicornis minor is the source of this 395-nucleotide long non-coding RNA. RefSeq lists it as uncharacterized. Lineage: Eukaryota; Metazoa; Chordata; Mammalia; Perissodactyla; Rhinocerotidae. The record is from RefSeq and is a predicted model, not a curated record. The transcript has 4 exons.